AUCAUGGCUCAGGAUGAACGCUAGCUACAGGCUUAACACAUGCAAGUCGAGGGGCAGCAUUAUCGAAGCUUGCUUUGAUAGAUGGCGACCGGCGCACGGGUGAGUAACGCGUAUCCAACCUUCCCAUCACUCAGGGAUAGCCCGCCGAAAGGCGAAUUAAUACCUGAUGGUCUCCUUUGCAGACAUCUAACGAGGAGUAAAGAUUCAUUGGUGAUGGAUGGGGAUGCGUCUGAUUAGGUAGUAGGCGGGGUAACGGCCCACCUAGCCGACGAUCAGUAGGGGUUCUGAGAGGAAGGUCCCCCACAUUGGAACUGAGACACGGUCCAAACUCCUACGGGAGGCAGCAGUGAGGAAUAUUGGUCAAUGGACGGAAGUCUGAACCAGCCAAGUAGCGUGCAGGAUGACGGCCCUAUGGGUUGUAAACUGCUUUUGUGCGGGAAUAAAGUAUGGGACGUGUCCCAUUUUGCAUGUACCGCACGAAUAAGGACCGGCUAAUUCCGUGCCAGCCGCUGC
Molecule: ribosomal RNA, 513 nt
Filed under: uncultured bacterium
Lineage: Bacteria
Description: bacterial SSU rRNA
Rfam family: Bacterial small subunit ribosomal RNA
Source: RNAcentral